GGGGAUGUGGCUCAGUAGUAGAGCUCUUGCCUAAUAUGUACAAGGCCCUGGGUUCAAUACCGAGCACUGCCA
Heterocephalus glaber (naked mole-rat) is the source of this 72-nucleotide non-coding RNA. The record is from Rfam. NCBI's taxonomy places the organism in Eukaryota, Metazoa, Chordata, Mammalia, Rodentia, Bathyergidae.